This is a long non-coding RNA of Stylophora pistillata, 1086 nucleotides long. The record is from RefSeq and is a predicted model, not a curated record. Lineage: Eukaryota; Metazoa; Cnidaria; Anthozoa; Scleractinia; Pocilloporidae.
AGAUCAUGUUGUUGAGGGAGACAUUUGCUUGAGACAGAAAAAUUGGUCCAGCUCCUGCGCAGUUUGAAUAAGCGGGCUCUGGGGCUGAACAAAGAAGACAAAACAAAGUGGCGGCUGAAAAGCUCACUCGCCCCAUGGAAGGUUUAUAUCGCGGAAUAGAAAGCCACAUUCGUCUCAAAGCCGAGAAGAUACUUCCCAAAAAACCGGAAAAAGUAGAUCAGGAGAAAAUGUAUCCAAUUCAGAUUGUUGACUGAGAAAAAAUAGAAAAUAAAGUGAAAAUUGACUUCAUUGGAUAUUCAAGUGAUUUUGAUGAAUGGAGAGUUGGAGAUGCCUUACUUGACAGAGAAAAAAGUAGUCUUAAUCGCUUGGUACCAUGAUUCAUACCAAGUGAAGAUUCCUUGUCUGACAGGGCUUCAGCUUUAUUCCACCGCCUCGGCCACGAAAUAAAGUUUAGUCUAUUUUCAACCAAAAGGGAGUCACCGGAGGUUCAGACUGAGAUGCAGAUUGACAUGGAUAUCUAUAAAACAUAUUUAAAAAAUAUUGGAUUUGUAAAAAAGUCAAGAGGAUGGGAAGUACAUUGCGUUGACGAUAACUCAUUUAUGCGAUCUGCUUGGUAGUAGGUGGUUUUAGAGAACUCAAAAUGUAAAUGGAGACUUUGUUAUGUCAUUCUUGUAACUGUAAGAUUUUGGCUGCAUGAAAAAAAGCCUGUGAAAGAGUUUGUUUAUGUUGGCGAUACUCUUGUAGAAAGCCACACUAAAAGUGACUUGCAAGUCAUUUUUACAUUGAUGACAUGUAGUCGUUGGCCAAUAUUGGUACCAUCCACAGAAAGUUUAACUUGAAUGUUAUGAUUUUCUUUGAAAGCGGCACUAGAAGGACUAUUUUUCUUAAGAGUCUGCAACCUUACUUUUAGUCAUUCCUUGAUGCUCUGCUGAAUCCCACAAGUAUCAUUUGGAGUACUUGACAGAUUCCAUUUACUAUUUAAAGCCUUUACGUCUCCUUGACUUUCCAUGACCGAGGUAGUUCCUUGCAAAUCAUAGAAAGUUCAUGGUAUACUUCAUUUGAUAUAUUAAAUCUUUCCUUUGUGUA